RNAcentral lists this transfer RNA (362 nucleotides) under Microcystis sp. BG46. RNAcentral's name for it is "16S-23S ribosomal RNA intergenic spacer". The stretch from base 135 to 208 matches the Rfam family "tRNA". RNAcentral also lists the same sequence under 1 other name. Lineage: Bacteria; Bacillati; Cyanobacteriota; Cyanophyceae; Chroococcales; Microcystaceae. The record is from RNAcentral.
AAGGGAGACCUAAUUCAGGUAGGAGACGAAAAAAAAGUAGUCGCUACCAAGAAUCAAUCCCAAAAGGUCGGAGCGAGGCGAAAUUGGCUUUCAAACUAGGUUCUGGGUUCACACAAGACCUGAAUCAGGAACAAGGGCUAUUAGCUCAGGUGGUUAGAGCGCACCCCUGAUAAGGGUGAGGUCCCUGGUUCGAGUCCAGGAUGGCCCACCUGCACAGGUGGCAAAAACAAGAGAAGCGAGGAAUCAGCACCUUAUCUUAUCUAUAUAUAUAUAGGAGAGAAUGCUGGCUCUGAGUAAAGAGUCCAGAGGAACCUUGAAAACUGCAUAGAGCUAGGUGAAAAAGCCAAAAAAGAAGACCGCAA